AAGUCGUAACAAGGUCUCCGUAGGUGAACCUGCGGAGGGAUCAUUACUGAGUGAGGGCCCCUGGCCCGACCUCCAACCCUUUGAUUGAAACACCAUGUUGCCUCGGGGGCGACCCGGACCCUUUGCCGGUCGUGGGGCCCCCGGUGGACCGUUCAACUCUGCGUCUUUGCGUCGGAUACACAACAGAAAUUGUUAAAACUUUCAACAACGGAUCUCUUGGUUCUGGCAUCGAUGAAGAACGCAGCGAAAUGCGAUAAGUAAUGUGAAUUGCAGAAUUCAGUGAAUCAUCGAGUUUUUGAACGCACACUGCGCCCCUUGGUAUUCCGGGGGGCAUGCCCGUUCGAGCGUCAUUGCACCAAUCAAGCUCGGCUUGGUAUUGGGUCCCGGGGGUGACCCGGACCUCAAAAGCGCCGGCUGACAAGCUCCGAUCGCAGCGUCGUGAAACAAAUUCGCUGACGAGACGGGCGGGUCACGCCGUCAAAUCUUUCUCAGGUUGACCUCGGAUCGGGUAGGAAUACCCGCUGAACUUAA
RNAcentral lists this ribosomal RNA (531 nucleotides) under uncultured fungus. Its description in RNAcentral is "eukaryotic LSU rRNA". The stretch from base 197 to 350 matches the Rfam family "5.8S ribosomal RNA". The record is from RNAcentral. Lineage: Eukaryota; Fungi.